RNAcentral lists this ribosomal RNA (750 nucleotides) under bacterium enrichment culture clone B2-12. RNAcentral describes it as "bacterial SSU rRNA". It matches the Rfam family "Bacterial small subunit ribosomal RNA", at positions 28 to 774 of the family's 1533-position model. The record is from RNAcentral.
GAUGAACGCUGGCGGCAUGCCUAAUACAUGCAAGUCGAACGAACUAGUUUACUAGUUAGUGGCGAACGGGUGAGUAACACGUAGGUAACCAACCCAUUAGACGAGGAUAACCGAUGGAAACGUCGGCUAAUAUUGGAUAGGAUGCAUUUUCAGAAGAGAGUGUAUUUAAAGGUAGCUUUCGGGCUAUGCUAAUGGCUGGGACUGCGUCGCAUUAGCUAGUUGGUGGGAUAAUAGCCUACCAAGGCAACGAUGCGUAGCUGGGCUGAGAGGCUGAACAGCCACACUGGGACUGAGACACGGCCCAGACUCCUACGGGAGGCAGCAGUAGGGAAUUUUCGGCAAUGGACGAAAGUCUGACCGAGCAAUGCCGCGUGAACGAAGAAGGUCUUCGGAUUGUAAAGUUCUGUUAUUUGGAAAGAAAGUGCAUCAUAGGAAAUGAUGAUGUAUUGACGGUACCGAAUGAGGAAGCCCCGGCUAACUAUGUGCCAGCAGCCGCGGUAAUACAUAGGGGGCAAGCGUUAUCCGGAAUUAUUGGGCGUAAAGCGUGCGUAGGCGGAAUGUUAAGUCAUUUGUAAAAGAUCUCAGCCCAACUGAGUAAGGCGAAUGAAACUGGCAAUCUUGAGUACGGUAGAGGUAAGUGGAAUUCCAAGUGUAGCGGUGGAAUGCGUAGAUAUUUGGAGGAACACCGAUGGCGAAAGCAGCUUACUGGGCCGGAACUGACGCUGAGCACGAAAGCGUGGGGAGCAAACA